Molecule: ribosomal RNA, 465 nt
Filed under: uncultured bacterium
Lineage: Bacteria
Description: partial 16S ribosomal RNA
Rfam family: Bacterial small subunit ribosomal RNA
Source: RNAcentral
GACGAACGCUGGCGGCGUGCUUAACACAUGCAAGUCGUACGGUAAGGCCCUUUCUGGGGUACACGAGUGGCGAACGGGUGAGUAACACGUGAGUAACCUGCCCACUACUUUGGGAUAACGCUAGGAAACUGGUGCUAAUACUGGAUAUGUACUCCUGCUGCAUGGUGGGGGUUGGAAAGCUCCGGCGGUUGUGGAUGUACUCGCGGCCUAUCAGCUUGUUGGUGGGGUAGUGGCCUACCAAGGCGGCGACGGGUAGCCGGCCUGAGAGGGUGACCGGCCACAUUGGGACUGAGAUACGGCCCAGACUCCGACGGGAGGCAGCAGGGGGGAAUAUUGCACAAUGGGCGCAAGCCUGAUGCAGCAACGCCGCGGGCGGGAGGACGGCCUUCGGGUUGGAAACCGCUUUCAGCAGGGACGAAGCUUUUUGUGACGGUACCUGCAGAAGAAGCACCGGCUAACUACGUG